GAUGAACGCUGGCGGCGUGCCUAAUACAUGCAAGUCGAGCGAACGGACGAGAAGCUUGCUUUUCUGAUGUUAGCGGCGGACGGGUGAGUAACACGUGGAUAACCUACCUAUAAGACUGGGAUAACUUCGGGAAACCGGAGCUAAUACCGGAUAAUAUUUUGAACCGCAUGGUUCAAAAGUGAAAGACGGUCUUGCUGUCCAUUAUAGAUGGAUCCGCGCUGCAUUAGCUAGUUGGUAAGGUAACGGCUUACCAAGGCAACGAUGCAUAGCCGACCUGAGAGGGUGAUCGGCCACACUGGAACUGAGACACGGUCCAGACUCCUACGGGAGGCAGCAGUAGGGAAUCUUCCGCAAUGGGCGAAAGCCUGACGGAGCAAGGCCGCGUGAGUGAUGAAGGUCUUCGGAUCGUAAAACUCUGUUAUUAGGGAAGAACAUAUGUGUAAGUAACUGUGCACAUCUUGACGGUACCUAAUCAGAAAGCCACGGCUAACUACGUG
This 497-nucleotide ribosomal RNA is filed under the name uncultured bacterium. RNAcentral's name for it is "partial 16S ribosomal RNA". It matches the Rfam family "Bacterial small subunit ribosomal RNA", at positions 28 to 507 of the family's 1533-position model. The record is from RNAcentral.